CCCCCAUCACACAAAGGACUUCCCAAACUUCAGCUGAUGCCAAGAGAAGCAGAUGAGGAAUGAUCUCUCCUGGCUUACACUCCAUUUUCAUGUACAAUUUAUAGAGCUUAGUUUUAAUGUAUAGCCUUAAACAGACUCUGCCCUUCUCCUUCCAUGGGAUAAUGGAGCUUACGACAAGCCAGGGGCACCUGGAUGAAGAAGGAUUUCGGUUGCCAGGGUCACCAUGGAGCACCUUGGGAACAAGGCCUGUCGUGAUUAAGUAUGUGUGCAUGAGAAGGCGAG
Molecule: long non-coding RNA, 282 nt
Filed under: Chrysolophus pictus (golden pheasant)
Lineage: Eukaryota; Metazoa; Chordata; Aves; Galliformes; Phasianidae
Description: lncRNA (ENSCPIG00010000947.1)
Source: RNAcentral